CUGACCUUUUCCAAUCUCAUAGCUGCUGAUGAGUUUUCCAAAUCUGAUGACAUAUGAACUCAGUGCCCCAGUUUAACAGCAUCAUUAACAGUUUAGCAGUUUCAUGUUAAUGAAUGCUCACAGUUUUUGCCUAAACCAUUUGCUUUCUCCUUCAUAUCUGAAUGAGAUCCUUUUUGGCUUUAGGUCUGGCUCAUUCAUCAUUUUGUGAAUGUUCUACCAUCCUCUACUGGCCUGAAGAGUUUCUAUUGAAAAACCAACUGCUAUCCGGGGAUCCAAAUAUUGCCGUGGCCUGGGUCUGCUUUCUGUAGGCUGGAGGGUUAUGGAUCCAUCAGCUGUGGAACCUGAUCUUUGUGUGUGGCACUGGACCGUUGCAGCACUAUGAUAAUGCAAAUUUUGAAUGAGGUUAUCCCCAAAUUUGGUAAAAAUGAAAGAAGAGUUGGGAAUAAAAAUGUCUCUACACUAUCUUCAUUAGUCUGAGAUUAUAAGAAGCAUUGUAAGCCAGAAGUAAUGUGGAUGAUCAUAACUCUGACUUUCAUCUUGAAAUUAGAGGAGAGGACGUAUUUUCAGCCUGCAGAAGUUUAGGUAUGCCAUUCCUACGAAAGCCUUCUACCAUCCAGAUAGUUGCUGAUACAAUUGCUCCAACUCAAAAUGUUUUCUCUUCUCCAUCAUCAAAAUCAGUUAGACCACAGAAGCAUAUUGUGAUACAUCAACCUGCAACUGUUGUUGUUGUUUUUAAUUGAAGGAUGAUUGCUUUACAGAAUUCUGUUGUAUUCUGUCAGACCUCAAAAUGAAUCAACCAUAGAUAUACAUAUAUUUCCUCCCCUUUGAAACUCCCUCCCAUCUCCCUCCCUAUCCCACACUCUAGGUUGAGCAUUUUUCAUGGGACUUCAUAUAGCAGCUACACUAAAUCAAAUGGCCCAAAUGAGAAUUUUGCAGCUAUGUCUACAUCUGUUUCUCAGUACCACAUCUUAUCUCCAUUACAGAACAGUAAUUUUGGACUGAGGGUGGAGACUUCUCACUUUCCAGAUUUGUACGGUAAUAUGGCAGCCCAUGACAGUGCUUUUCCCAAACUACAACACGCAGGCAAUUCAUGUUUCCCAGUGCCAAAGAUCCCUGAUACAUCUGCUGCCUCUCUUUCAAGGUCAACUCAUCAACCAUCUUCAUUAUUUGAAAAUCAUCCUAAUACAACUGAUCUACCAAACAGGUGUCAGAUUAUGCAGGAUAAUGAAGAUUAGAAUUAAUGUUGGGAGAGAUCAACAAAUUCCUACAAUUCUCUUAUUUGAAGAAUAAAGUGACAUGUUCAUCUUCAUAGUGUCAAUUUCUAUUUUGAAAUAAUUGAGAGUAAAAUGAGAGUAUUAUUUCAGCACCUGGCUAUUGUACUGUGCUUUAGUAUAAACUCUUCUAUUCAAGGAAUCAUGCAAUAUGCAUCCUAUGUAAAUUACACCUAAUGAAUUGUUUAAAAAAUAUAAAAUUAGAACAAAGUGAAAAGAUGAAAUGUAAAUAAAAUGAUUUUGAAAUCAUCCAGGCUGAAUUGACUGGGUGUCUAAGUUAGGAUGGUAUGGGAGAAGGAACAGAUACAAAUAAAAUUUAGAAAAAGCAAAUGAAGAGUAUGUAGUUUGCUGCUUCCUCAGUUUUAUUAUAUCAUGUCAGUUAUCAGGAGGAAAGCUAAGAGGUUAGACAGCAGGUUGUCUUCAUUAAACAAAAAUUUGUUUCAUACUUGAAAAUACUGAGAUGUUCUCAGUAACCAUGACCACCAUCAUACCAUCACUGGAAUACCAACAAUAACAUGACAUAGUCAAAGAUUGCACCACAGUCAGCAAAAGAUAGGUAUUUUACCAGCGAGAUUAUAAAGGGUCAUUUUUGUUCUGCUCUCCUUAUAUAAUGUCUUCAUUUCAGCCCACCAAGACACCACCCUAUAUUUCCUAAUGUAUAUUUUGAUGUUGCUUUCCUGUCCCUAAAAGAAAGACUUAAAUCCUUGUGGUGAAUGCAGCAUCUCAUCAUGGUUAACCAGUUCUUGGAAGACAUGGCAUCUGUUUCCCUUAGUAGCUUCAUUAUCUAUCUGUUUCACUGAAUUUCUAGAGCUACAAUCAGGCUAAAUAUUUUCAGUCAUGCUAAGCCACAUUUCACAAUGUUUCUUAAACUCUUGUAUGGAAUUGGAAAGAACCUGUUUGCCUACCUACCAAGUUAUUCACAUGUAUCAGAUUCUUCUAUGUAUCGUGUCUACCCAAGUUUCCUUAUGUAUCUUGCACAUCAGUUAAGACUUAGUGCCUGCCAAAUGAUGUAUUUUACAUACUUACUGAAUUAGCAAUAAAGAGAUGUAAUAACCAA
Cervus elaphus (red deer) is the source of this 2328-nucleotide long non-coding RNA. RefSeq lists it as uncharacterized. The record is from RefSeq and is a predicted model, not a curated record. Lineage: Eukaryota; Metazoa; Chordata; Mammalia; Artiodactyla; Cervidae. The transcript is spliced from 3 exons.